RNAcentral lists this transfer RNA (72 nucleotides) under Planctomycetota bacterium. Its description in RNAcentral is "Planctomycetes bacterium (rhizosphere metagenome) tRNA-Asn". It matches the Rfam family "tRNA". From Rfam's summary of the family: Transfer RNA (tRNA) molecules are approximately 80 nucleotides in length. Lineage: Bacteria; Pseudomonadati; Planctomycetota. The record is from RNAcentral.
UGUCCCGUAGCACAACGGUGGUGCGGCUGGCUGUUAACCAGACGGGUGCAGGUUCGAGUCCUGCCGGGACAG